RNAcentral lists this long non-coding RNA (813 nucleotides) under Homo sapiens (human). RNAcentral describes it as "HSALNT0293223". Lineage: Eukaryota; Metazoa; Chordata; Mammalia; Primates; Hominidae. The record is from RNAcentral.
AAAAAGAAUAGGAGGGCUUGUAAGCACUGAUCCAACAGGAAAGGCUGCAUAUUGGGCAAGUCAGGUCUCAGAGAACAGACCUGUGUGUAAGGCCAUUAUUCAAGGAAAACUAAUUUGGUGGAAAGAUAAUAAAAAUAAGACAUGGGAAAUAGGUAAGGUGAUAACGUGGGGGAGAGGUUUUGCUUGUGUUUCACCAGGAGAAAAUCAGCUUCCUGUUUGGAUACCCACUAGACAUUUGAAGUUCUACAAUGAACCCAUCGGAGAUGCAAAGAAAAGGGCCUCCACGGAGAUGUCUGCAGGUGUACCCAACAGCUCCGAAGAGACAGCGACCAUCGAGAACGGGCCAUGAUGACGAUGGCGGUUUUGUCGAAAAGAAAAGGGGGAAAUGUGGGGAAAAGCAAGAGAGAUCAGAUUGUUACUGUGUCUGUGUAGAAAGAAGUAGACAUAGGAGACUCCAUUUUGUUAUGUACUAAGAAAAAUUCUUCUGCCUUGAGAUUCUGUUAAUCUAUAACCUUACCCCCAACCCCGUGCUCUCUGAAACGUGUGCUGUGUCAACUCAGAGUUAAAUGGAUUAAGGGCGGUGCAAGAUGUGCUUUGUUAAACAGAUGCUUGAAGGCAGCAUGCUCCUUAAGAGUCAUCACCACUCCCUAAUCUCAAGUACCCAGGGACACAAAAACUGCGGAAGGCCGCAGGGACCUCUGCCUAGGAAAGCCAGGUAUUGUCCAAGGUUUCUCCCCAUGUGAUAGUCUGAAAUAUGGCCUCGUGGGAAGGGAAAGACCUGACCAUCCCCCAGCCCGACACCCGUAAAGGGUC